AAUUACACACUCUGUUAGUAUCUAUAUUUUAAUCCUUGAAGAGGAUAUUAAAUUCUUCGAAGUCUAACAAAAAAAAUUUUAUCAUUUUGAAAAAUAUAAAGUUUGGUCAGUAAUCCGGCAUCUCUUUAAACGCGCAAUUUUUCAUAAUAUUUUUUAAUACACGGAACAUCAAAAAGUCACUUUGUACAUAUCCAAAACUAUACACUUGUGGCUCCUCUAAACAGAACACGGCAACGCUUGAUAAAGCGACGUGGUAAUCAAUCAGCUUACAACUUUUCCAUAAUAACAAAAGAUUGGCUACCGCAUCAUUUCUUACCAUGCAGCAAGUGUUAUCGCGUCCUGUCUACAGAAGUCAAUAAGGCUUACAACUUGUAUUGUGUACAAAAAAGAUGAAAUUUUUGAUGAAGUAAUACUUUAUCUUAACAUUUACCAUUAUUAUAUUUCAGUACAACAUGGAAACAAUUGGCGGUAGACAAAAGGGAACUUUCAUUUAUGUUUAUGAUGGAUAUACAUAUAAUAUCGAUAAGCGGCUAAACAACACAUAUCGCUGUUCAAGUCGUCGUUCAACAGGAUGUCCCGGUGUUGCAAAAAUAAUUGAUGGGCAAGUGCAUGUGCAAACUCUACAUCAACAUCCACCAGAUACCAAAAAGUUGGAAAAAUCUAAAAUGCGAAAUGAAAUGUUACGUUUAUCACGAGAAUCGCUUCUGCCACUGAAGGAAAUUUUUGAUAACGUUUGUCGAACGGAUCCAGAAGUAGCUAUACAUAUAUCGUAUAGUUCUAUGAAAAGUAUAAUGACUCGAGAACGAACUAAACAAAGACCUCCUAUACCACACACUUUUCAAGCCUUGGCUACUGAUUUAAUUAAAUACGAGUGGAUUAAAGAUUUUUAUAAAGGAAGUGUAGUUGCACAAGAUGGUAAUACAGCUAUUAUAUUUUCAAGUGAAAAACUUAUUGAAAUAAUUCAAGAAGCUCAGGAAAUUUUUGUUGAUGGAACAUUUUCAGUUACUCUCCGUCAUCCUCGAAUGGAUCAACUAUAUACUAUUCACACUCGUUAUAUGAAUAAAGCAGUUGGAACUGUGUUUUGCUUAUGUGAAGCACGUACUAGUGCAUUAUAUGAAUCAAUAUGGUUAAAAGUAUUAGAACUAGCUCCAGGAAUGAAAAAUAAUGUUAAAUUUAUCAUGAGUGAUUACGAAGCAGCAGCUAUAAAAGUUUUAGAAAAACUUUUUCCAAAUGCAGAUAUUCACGGGUGUUGGUUUCAUUAUAAUCAAGCAGUACUACGUAAAUGGAAUUACUUGGGUUUAACAAAUAUUUCAAAUACCCUGUUGUCCAUAACAAUGACGCUUCCAUUACUGCCACAAGAAUAUUUCAUGCCAGCAUUAAGGAUACUACAUAAUUACUGCGACGCUACACAUUUCAAAUAUGAAGAAUUAUUGCAAUUUCUAACAUAUAUUGAGAAAACUUGAUUGCCUAAGGCAUCAAAAGUUAGCGUAUAUAACUGUCCUGCAAGAACAAACAAUUUAGUAGAAAAUUUCCAUAGUACAAUAAGACGAAAAUUGGGUCUUCAUCAAAAUUUAUGGCUUUUUUUAGAUAAAUUAACAAAGUUAAUUAUGGAUCAAGAAAUUCAUUUUAGACGUCUACAAAAUAAUGAGAAUUUAAUGAUUGUGCAGCAACGCAAAAAUAAAGAGCGUAAUUUAAAUAUUUUUCAAGCGCAAACAGAUCUAAUUACAGGAAGGUUGCCCCUUGAACAAUUUUUACGAAUGUUUACCGGAAUAUAUAAAACUUCUUAUUAUCAAGAACAUAUAAAUAUGCAAGAGAAAGAAAAUGUAGCAAACAUCUUAUCUUUGGAAAAUGAAAACGAAGAGAAUUAUGAAAAGGAAACACAAAUUACUACAAAUCAAGAUAUUCCAACAAUUACAUGUGAACCGGACAUUCAACCUCAAGUUGUACUAACAAGACUCAAACGUAAAGAUUAUGAAAAAUAUAUUGAAAAUGAUCGGCAACCAUUAAAUUUUAUUGAAAAUACUAUUUCGUCAAAUAUUACACGAAAAAGAUGCAGAAGAAAAGUGCACAAAUGUUGUUGAAAAAAUAUCAAUAUCAUAAGAUCUCAGUAUUUUAGCAUCAAUUCUGUACAUUGAUUCUAAUGGAGACUGACAUUUUUUUAAAUAAUAUUUAAUUAAAGUAUUAAUUGAUAAUCAUUUUAGAUUUCAUUAUUUUGGAUAUUAAUUUUAUAUGAGAUCUCAUUGGAAUCAAUCUACAGAAUUACAUAAAAUAUGACUUGUUUCAUGAGGUGAGAUUUUCCGGAAAGAGGCGAAGAAAAUGAAAGAAUAAUAAAGUCUGGUAUAGAUGCAUUAUGCAAAUCAUAACAUAGAUGCAUUGAUGCUGUAUCGAAUCAAGUUUUUAUACCGUGCAGUCACAUUUGUUGUUGUGAAGAUUGUGCUAAUUAUAUUAUGAGAGAGAACAAUAAUGUUAAGAAAUGUCCAAUCUGCAAAGCAGAAAUUUCAUCUAUCUACAAAGUAUAUACAGCAUAAAUGAGUUUGUAUUUUCUUCUAAAUAUAAGAACAUCUAAGAAUGUUUGCAACUUUCUUAAUACGCGUAAUCUGAGAUACUUGUCAAUUAUACGCUUUGAAAUAUAUAUGGCUAGACUACCUUGCAUAUUUUAAUCUUUACGCAUAUAGUGCGCAAUACUUAAGAUACAUAAAACAUUAUUCUAUUGAAAAUUAAUAGUAUAUAUACUUAUAUAUAUAUAUAUAUAUAUAUAUAUAUAUAUAUAUAUAUAUAUAUAUAUACACUAGUCUAACUACACAAAAAGUUUAUUUUCUUCUUUUAAAUAUAUAUAAACGUUAUUAACUGUUGACAGAGUUAUAUUUUAUGUUUCAUUUUAAACAAAGAAGGGAAUAGAGUUCUGCUUUUCAGAUGUGAAGACUGAUUAGAAAAUAAGUUUUAUUUUAUUUCAUUCUCGUAUUAUAGAUAUAUGUAGAAUUAAGGUUAACUCUGUUGCUAAUUGUGAUUGUGCAAUAAGAGCUUUAAUUAUUUUGUUGAUGAAUAAAUUACUGAGAUUUUGGCUUUCCUUGUAUAAUUCUAGUAUUGAAUAAAAAUGUAAGUUUGAUAAUCUAA
Molecule: RNA transcript, 3114 nt
Organism: Solenopsis invicta (red fire ant)
Lineage: Eukaryota; Metazoa; Arthropoda; Insecta; Hymenoptera; Formicidae
Exons: 9
Source: RefSeq, a predicted model, not a curated record